AUGUCCCCGCACGGCCCGGCACGGCCCGCGUUGGCCUCCGCUCGGUUUCCCGUCGCGGCCCGGCUCCCUCCUCCCGCUGGCCGCCCGUUCCUCUCCGCUCCGGCCUUGCCCUCCCCGCCCGGCGGCGCACACACAAUGCCCGGGUCCUCCAUCUUGCCGGCAGCCGCCGCUCGGCUCGGGGGAAGGGGGAGGAGAAGGAGAAGGAGGUUCUCCAUUUUAGCUCGCCGAGCGCCGGGCCCGGCCUGCCGGCGGCCCUCCCCGGGCCGGAGGAGCGGGCCCCGUGCCGGUGUCCGGGGUGCCGCUUUCGGGGCCCUCCUCUCUCCGCCGGCGCCGCCGCUCGCGUGCCCCCCUCCCCGCCGAACGCGCCGGGGGAGGGGGUGGGAGAGGGGGGGGGGGUGUGGAGCGGGGGCCGGAGUGUUUUCGCGGCUCGGCCCCGCCGUCCUCCAUCUUGGCUGCGCCGAUCCCCGCGCCCCGCCGCCCCGCGCCGCGCCCCGGCCCGACCCCGCUCCGCCGCCGCGCGGCCCGUUCCCGCGUCCCCCCUCCAAACUUCCAGAAGCUUCGCCGCCAUUUUCUAACUUACCUUGCCCAGCGUCGGCGCGGGCGGCGAGGAGGCCCCGGGCGCGGCGCCGCGCUCCUCCGUCCCCGGCUCGGCCGCCUCUCGCUCGCCCGGCCCGGCCCGGAGACGUGCCGGCGGGGGGAGGGGGGGGGGUCUGUGCCCGGCGGGGAGCGGGCAGGUUAUUUAAUUUGGCGGCGGCGCCGGGGAUUGUUUGGGGUGUUCGCGGCUCGGCGGCUCGCGAGCGAAUGGAGGCCGCAGGCGCCACCUGGCGGCCGCCGGGCGCGGCCCGCUCUCCUGGGCGUGGGGCGACAUCUGCCGGCCGGCCGAGGAGAGCCGCGCCGCGCGGGGUAAACAAGGCCCUGCGCAUGCGCGCAACGCUCCCCCCGCCCCCUCCCCGGCCGGCCGGGCGAGGAGCCCCGGCUGUGCGGGGCAGCGGCGAGCGGAGAGCCGGGAGGGGCCGGGCCGAGGGGGGAGGCGCAGCUGGCGGCUGCAUUCACGGGGCGGGAUCGGGUGAACGAAGGGAGAGGGCGGGAGGCUGCCGAGAGGGACGGCCUGAACCCUCCGCAGGGCUCUGA
RNAcentral lists this long non-coding RNA (1131 nucleotides) under Coturnix japonica (Japanese quail). RNAcentral's name for it is "lncRNA (ENSCJPG00005018781.1)". Lineage: Eukaryota; Metazoa; Chordata; Aves; Galliformes; Phasianidae. The record is from RNAcentral.